RNAcentral lists this transfer RNA (73 nucleotides) under Neotamlana laminarinivorans. RNAcentral describes it as "tRNA-Pro". It matches the Rfam family "tRNA". From Rfam's summary of the family: Transfer RNA (tRNA) molecules are approximately 80 nucleotides in length. Their secondary structure includes four short double-helical elements and three loops (D, anti-codon, and T loops). Lineage: Bacteria; Pseudomonadati; Bacteroidota; Flavobacteriia; Flavobacteriales; Flavobacteriaceae. RNAcentral also lists the same sequence under 1 other name. The record is from RNAcentral.
CUGAAAGGAUAACGAUGGUUUGUUUACUCGCUUUGGAAGCGAGAGGUUGUAGGUUCGAAUCCUAUCUCUCAGA